CUUGUCUCAGUUCGGAUUGUAGGCUGAAACUCGCCUACAUGAAGCUGGAGUUGCUAGUAAUCGCGAAUCAGCAUGUCGCGGUGAAUACGUUCCCGGGUCUUGUACACACCGCCCGUCACACCAUGGGAGUUGGUAACGCCCGAAGCCAGUGACCCAACCUUAAGAGGAGGGAGCUGUCGAAGGUGGGACCGAUAACUCGGGGUGAAGUCGUAACAAGGUAAC
This 222-nucleotide ribosomal RNA is filed under the name uncultured bacterium. RNAcentral's name for it is "partial 16S ribosomal RNA". It matches the Rfam family "Bacterial small subunit ribosomal RNA", at positions 1282 to 1500 of the family's 1533-position model. The record is from RNAcentral.